Long non-coding RNA from Saccostrea cuccullata (small rock oyster), 881 nucleotides. RefSeq lists it as uncharacterized. The record is from RefSeq and is a predicted model, not a curated record. Lineage: Eukaryota; Metazoa; Mollusca; Bivalvia; Ostreida; Ostreidae. The transcript has 4 exons.
UUUUUCCUCUCUUUUACUUUGAUGAUUGUUAUGUUAUGAAACUUUUCUUGUAUAAAGCUCAAUUUCUCUAUGACCACGGAAGUAAACAUCCUGAUGCAUUCUUGUCAUGUGAAUGUUGAGAGCGUGUUCAUUUUUGAAAUUUUGAAAUCUCCUUUCUGACAUAUAUAUUCUACAGGAUCAGCUGAGAUGUUAUUUCACUGGAUUAUUUAAUGGAUAGGCUUAUUGGGCAUAUAUUUGGAUAUCUCUGUCAUCAACAUGGAAUGUAUGACUUCGUCUUUAUACAGUCGGGUUCGGGUUCGGCGGCCAUGGCGAAUCUCGGCAAGAUUUUACCCCAGUGAAAAAAGACUUGUAAUCCACCGUUCCUCAACCUGGAAGAUAUGUUUUGUUCCUAACCAUCUAUAAUCCAUUCUCUAUGAAGUGAAGCCUGGCUGCUGGUCUUCCUUUGGAAAUACACAGUUUGUCAAUCAACAUAGAAACACACAAACUUGAAGGUAAAGUUUCAAUGAGAUACAAUUGUAACUUUUAUUUAUUUAUUUUUUUUUUUGUUACAUAUGCAUGUUUAUAUUUUGGAAUUGAUAAGUAAAUGAUAUAUGAUUUUUUAAAUAAAGAGGGCUUGGUGGUCAUGGUCAUGUUUAAACCAUAUUGAUAUCCUUCACAAGAAAAGGCAUAAAAAUUCAUGAUCAAAUUUUAAAACUAAAAUGUAUGAAGUUUUUCUGUGCCAAAUGAUAGUUAACAGCUAAAGAUAGCAUAUCUAUGGAAUAAGUUAAAUAUGGCUAUUUUGUUAACCCCCAGCUUCCAUAAUAGCAUAGUUGGUAAAGAUAGCAAGUUUUGACUUCAAUUGCUGAUGAAUUCUGAAUUUUCCAUUUAAUAUUAACAUUAUA